RNAcentral lists this ribosomal RNA (80 nucleotides) under Puccinia graminis. RNAcentral's name for it is "partial 5.8S ribosomal RNA". It matches the Rfam family "5.8S ribosomal RNA", at positions 76 to 154 of the family's 154-position model. Rfam says of the family: 5.8S ribosomal RNA (5.8S rRNA) is a component of the large subunit of the eukaryotic ribosome. It is transcribed by RNA polymerase I as part of the 45S precursor that also contains 18S and 28S rRNA. Functionally, it is thought that 5.8S rRNA may be involved in ribosome translocation. The record is from RNAcentral. Lineage: Eukaryota; Fungi; Basidiomycota; Pucciniomycetes; Pucciniales; Pucciniaceae.
AGAUUCAGUGAUCAUCGAAUCUUUGAACGCAUCUUGCACCUUUUGGUAUUCCAAAAGGUACACCUGUUUGAGUGUCAUGA